CCUACGGGAGGCAGCAGUGGGGAAUAUUGCACAAUGGGGGAAACCCUGAUGCAGCAACGCCGCGUGAAGGAAGACGGUUUUCGGAUUGUAAACUUCUUUCAAUAGGGAAGAAAGAAAUGACGGUACCUAAAUAAGAAGCUCCGGCUAACUACGUGCCAGCAGCCGCGGUAACACGUAGGGGGCAAGCGUUAUCCGGAAUUACUGGGUGUAAAGGGAGAGUAGGCGGCAAGGUAAGCGAUAUGUGAAAGCCUUAAGCUUAACUUAAGGAUGGCAUAACGAACUAGCUAGCUAGAGUACAGGAGAGGAAAGCGGAAUUCCUAGUGUAGCGGUGAAAUGCGUAGAUAUUAGGCAGAACACCGGUGGCGAAGGCGGCAUUCUGGACUGAAACUGACGCUGAGGCUCGAAAGCGUGGGGAGCGAACAGGAUUAGAUACCCGUGUAGUC
Molecule: ribosomal RNA, 443 nt
Filed under: uncultured bacterium
Lineage: Bacteria
Description: partial 16S ribosomal RNA
Rfam family: Bacterial small subunit ribosomal RNA
Source: RNAcentral